UACAGAGGGGGCAAGCGUUGUUCGGAAUUACUGGGCGUAAAGGGCGCGUAGGCGGCCUUCUAAGUCGAACGUGAAAUCCCCGGGCUCAACCCGGGAACUGCGUCCGAUACUGGAAGGCUUGAAUCCGGGAGAGGGAUGCGGAAUUCCAGGUGUAGCGGUGAAAUGCGUAGAUAUCUGGAGGAACACCGAUGGCGAAGGCAGGUCUCUGGGCCGCAACUGACGCUGAGGAGCGAAAGCAUGGGGAGCGAACAGG
Molecule: ribosomal RNA, 253 nt
Filed under: uncultured bacterium
Lineage: Bacteria
Description: partial 16S ribosomal RNA
Rfam family: Bacterial small subunit ribosomal RNA
Source: RNAcentral